UACAGAGGGUGCAAGCGUUGCUCGGAUUUACUGGGCGUAAAGCGUGCGCAGACGGCUGAGCAAGUUGGACGUGAAAGCCUGGGGCUCAACUCCAGAAUUGCGUUCAAAACUACUCGGCUCGAGUAUGGGAGAGGGAAGUGGAAUUCCUGGUGUAGAGGUGAAAUUCGUAGAUAUCAGGAGGAACACCAGCGGCGAAGGCGGCUUCCUGGCCCAUUACUGACGUUCAGGCACGAAAGCGUGGGGAGCAAACAGG
RNAcentral lists this ribosomal RNA (253 nucleotides) under uncultured bacterium. RNAcentral describes it as "partial 16S ribosomal RNA". It matches the Rfam family "Bacterial small subunit ribosomal RNA", at positions 524 to 776 of the family's 1533-position model. The record is from RNAcentral.